AGAAGCUCUGGCGACGAAUGGACGCAGUGGGAGCCGGAAAACGAACUAUGAACAUUCGGUUCUCCGAUCUCGUUACCGGCGGCGAUCCUCGUGGCGGUGGCGGAACCAGGAGAUGGAGGCCAUCAGCACGUCGAGCAUCCGAGCCGGAGACAAAACUGCGGUUUUGCAUAAAACCGUGGACGAGAACGUCCGAGCCGGAGACAAAACUGCGGUUUUGCAUAAAACCGUGGACGAGAACGUCCGAGCCGGAGACAAAACUGCGGUUUUGCAUAAAACCGUGGACGAGAACGUCCGAGCCGGAGACAAAACUGCGGUUUUGCAUAAAACCGUGGACGAGAACGUAGAGCAAGCCUCCGGCAGUCAUCAAAGCAAUCGAUGCCAAAUCAACAGUCACAUUGUGACUAUGAUUGUGAUUGAGAUUGAAUUCUUUGUACUCCAGCUUGUGGAUGAUGUUCCAAAACCCCAUGAUACACAACGAAAAUGGAACUAGGUUUCACAUCAAGCCCUAAUUCCCGAG
This 517-nucleotide long non-coding RNA is filed under the name Daucus carota (carrot). RNAcentral's name for it is "long non-coding RNA (DCAR_LNC003032)". The record is from RNAcentral. Lineage: Eukaryota; Viridiplantae; Streptophyta; Magnoliopsida; Apiales; Apiaceae.